RNAcentral lists this long non-coding RNA (1296 nucleotides) under Equus caballus (horse). RNAcentral's name for it is "lncRNA (ENSECAG00000056919.1)". The record is from RNAcentral. Lineage: Eukaryota; Metazoa; Chordata; Mammalia; Perissodactyla; Equidae.
UAAAAGGCAUUGUGGAUUCUGCCUUGCUCUCUCUUGGAUCACUUGCUCUGGGAGAAGCCAGCUGCCAUGCCACGAGGACACUCAAGCAGCUUGAUGGAGAAGUCUACCUAGUGAGGAACUGAGGUCUCCUGCCAACAACCAGCAAGGAAUUGAGGCCUUCUGCCAACAGCUAUGAACCUAGCUCAAAACCACUUCUCUGCCAGAAGUGCUCUCCAGGAAUUCUGGCCCGUGAAUAUCCUUCUUACUCAGUUAUUUUACGAUGUGAACAACUCCAUCUUGAAAUAAAUUGAACUGGGGAAAACUGGAAGUCUGGACUCUAGAGAGGUGUCUCCAGAGAGACAUGAAGAAUGACGGAGACACAGAGACCUCAGAAAAAAUUAGACAAUAUGGACACUAUGCUUCCUCAACGGGAAUUUUCUAAGGACUUAAAAACCAGUCCUUUGUCACUUCAAGUCAAGCUAUUGAUAUAGCUUUGGGCUUGUGGAUGUGUUAUUCAUGUUCUUGCUCAUCCCAUGGAAGUUGUGAAAUAAGGAAUAAACAUCAAUUCACAAGAAGAAUAAUGGCUGAUGAUCUGGUGGAUGAGCAGCUGAGCAACUGUGAUGCGCGCCAAAAGAGUCAAAAGUCAACUCUUCUUAAAGCACCACCAUCCACAUUAAUAUGACAGACCAGAAUAACUCUGAGGGAGCCAUUAUGAUCCAUUACGAAAAUAACAUUCAUUUGCAAAAUGAGGAACAUACCAAAAUGCAAGUGGUUCCAGUUCUUUCAGCUAAAUUACACAUUAAGCAAGCAGACUUCCUCUUCCAACAUUUUGAAACGGUUUAAUAUGCACUCGGGCUGGCCAGGGCCUAGAUUUUCUAAGACCGCCCCAAAGGUGAAGCCUCGAAAAAUGAGGACUGAUUGAUUGCCAGAGAGUCAGUCAGCCCCGCUGGUGUGUUGGUCAGGUGAAGCAUGACUGUGCUUUGAAAUUUCUCCUAGGGGACAGGAAUGAUACCACGUAGGAGCUGUGAAUCCCAGCUGGCUUCAUCCAAGAGCUUAUUGGCUGCUCCCCUCCAGUGGUUUGUUGGUUAGAACUCGGGGAUGAAGUGUAGUGGACGUUUGUUGUCUUUGCCUUUCGAGCAUUCAUUCAUACCUUCUUCUCAUAACAGUUCCUUGAAUUUCCUUUGGGAGGCUUCCCUUCCCUAUUCUUGGCCCAUGUAAUAAAAGCUAAGAAUGACAGCUAACGUGCAUUAAACUCUCAUCAUGUGCCAGGCACUGGUCGAACCAUCUUACAUUAACUCAUUUAAUCCUUAUACUAAC